This 468-nucleotide ribosomal RNA is filed under the name uncultured bacterium. RNAcentral's name for it is "partial 16S ribosomal RNA". It matches the Rfam family "Bacterial small subunit ribosomal RNA", at positions 28 to 507 of the family's 1533-position model. The record is from RNAcentral.
GACGAACGCUGGCGGCGUGCUUAACACAUGCCAGUCGAACGGAAAGGCCCUGCUUUUGUGGGGUGCUCGAGUGGCGAACGGGUGAGUAACACGUGAGUAACCUGCCCUUGACUUUGGGAUAACUUCAGGAAACUGGGGCUAAUACCGGAUAGGAGCUCCUGCUGCAUGGUGGGGGUUGGAAAGUUUCGGCGGUUGGGGAUGGACUCGCGGCUUAUCAGCUUGUUGGUGGGGUAGUGGCUUACCAAGGCUUUGACGGGUAGCCGGCCUGGGAGGGUGACCGGCCACAUUGGGACUGGGAUACGGGCCAGACUGCUACGGGAGGCAGCAGUGGGGAAUAGUGCACAAUGGGCGGAAGCCUGAUGCAGCAACGCCGCGUGCGGGAUGACGGCCUUCGGGUUGUAAACCGCUUUCGCCUGUGACGAAGCGUGAGUGACGGUAAUGGGUAAAGAAGCACCGGCUAACUACGUG